This 486-nucleotide ribosomal RNA is filed under the name uncultured bacterium. RNAcentral describes it as "bacterial SSU rRNA". It matches the Rfam family "Bacterial small subunit ribosomal RNA", at positions 12 to 492 of the family's 1533-position model. The record is from RNAcentral.
UUUGAUCAUGGCUCAGAUUGAACGCUGGCGGCAGGCCUAACACAUGCAAGUCGAGCGGAUGAUGGGAGCUUGCUCCCGGAUUCAGCGGCGGACGGGUGAGUAAUGCCUAGGAAUCUGCCUGGUAGUGGGGGACAACGUUUCGAAAGGAACGCUAAUACCGCAUACGUCCUACGGGAGAAAGCAGGGGGACCUUCGGGCCUUGCGCUAUCAGAUGAGCCUAGGUCGGAUUAGCUAGUUGGUGGGGUAAAGGCCUACCAAGGCGACGAUCCGUAACUGGUCUGAGAGGAUGAUCAGUCACACUGGAACUGAGACACGGUCCAGACUCCUACGGGAGGCAGCAGUGGGGAAUAUUGGACAAUGGGCGAAAGCCUGAUCCAGCCAUGCCGCGUGUGUGAAGAAGGUCUUCGGAUUGUAAAGCACUUUAAGUUGGGAGGAAGGGCAGUAAGUUAAUACCUUGCUGUUUUGACGUUACCAACAGAAUAAGCA